CCUACGGGAGGCAGCAGUGAGGAAUAUUGGUCAAUGGGCGAGAGCCUGAACCAGCCAAGUCGCGUGAGGGAAGACGGUCCUAUGGAUUGUAAACCUCUUUUGCCGGGGAGCAAAAAGCGGUACGUGUACCGCAUCGAGAGUACCCGGAGAAAAAGCAUCGGCUAACUCCGUGCCAGCAGCCGCGGUAAUACGGAGGAUGCGAGCGUUAUCCGGAUUUAUUGGGUUUAAAGGGUGCGCAGGCGGCGAGUUAAGUCAGCGGUAAAAUUUCGGGGCUCAACCCCGACAAGCCGUUGAAACUGGGGUGCUAGAGUGGGCGAGAAGUAUGCGGAAUGCGUGGUGUAGCGGUGAAAUGCAUAGAUAUCACGCAGAACUCCGAUUGCGAAGGCAGCAUACCGGCGCCCAACUGACGCUCAGGCACGAAAGCGUGGGUAUCGAACAGGAUUAGAUACCCGGGUAGUC
Molecule: ribosomal RNA, 459 nt
Filed under: uncultured bacterium
Lineage: Bacteria
Description: partial 16S ribosomal RNA
Rfam family: Bacterial small subunit ribosomal RNA
Source: RNAcentral